AUUGAACGCUGGCGGCAUGCCUUACACAUGCAAGUCGAACGGCAGCACGGGUGCUUGCCCCUGGUGGCGAGUGGCGAACGGGUGAGUAAUACAUCGGAACAUGUCCUGUAGUGGGGGAUAGCCCGGCGAAAGCCGGAUUAAUACCGCAUACGAUCUACGGAUGAAAGCGGGGGACCUUCGGGCCUCGCGCUAUAGGGUUGGCCGAUGGCUGAUUAGCUAGUUGGUGGGGUAAAGGCCUACCAAGGCGACGAUCAGUAGCUGGUCUGAGAGGACGACCAGCCACACUGGGACUGAGACACGGCCCAGACUCCUACGGGAGGCAGCAGUGGGGAAUUCUGGACAAUGGGCGAAAGCCUGAUCCAGCAAUGCCGCGUGUGUGAAGAAGGCCUUCGGGUUGUAAAGCACUUUUGUCCGGAAAGAAAUCCUUGGCCCUAAUACGGUCGGGGGAUGACGGUACCGGAAGAAUAAGCACCGGCUAACUACGUG
RNAcentral lists this ribosomal RNA (486 nucleotides) under uncultured bacterium. RNAcentral's name for it is "partial 16S ribosomal RNA". It matches the Rfam family "Bacterial small subunit ribosomal RNA", at positions 30 to 507 of the family's 1533-position model. The record is from RNAcentral.